UCUGGUUCCAUGCCAUAAAGGAGACAGCAGAAGAUGGAGCUGCUCAAAUACAGCUGAGGGUAUACCUAUGGAGUCCUGGAACUUUACUCAUUGUGUUGACAACCCUAGCUUGGAACUCACAGAGAUCCUCCUGCUUCUGCCUCCUGAGUGCUGGGAUUUAAGAACAAAAGAAGAGACUUGUACACUACACAUCAAGCAAGGGUUUGCUCUACUGCUUUGUUACAUACCCCAGACAACAUGACACCAAACAAACCUGACUUUAAAAGGCAGUGCGACUGUGUAAUUCAAAGGAGAAGAAAUCGCCAAGCAUGGCGGUACACACCUAGAGUCCUAACACUUGGAAGCAGAAGCAGAAGGACUUUUAAGUUCUGGGCUCAUUUCUGGUAUGAGACCCUGUCUCAAGCGCCUAUUUGAAAAAUCCAGAAAGUAUAAACUAUGAAUAAAUAUAUAGUUUUCAGACUAUUAACAAUGGAAAUGCUGAGCUGGAGAGAUGGCUCAGCGGUUAAGAGCACUGACUGCUCUUCCAGAGGUCCUGAGUUCAGUUCCCAGCAACCACAUGGUGGCUCACAACCAUCUGUUAUGAGAUCCGAUGCCUUCUUCUGGUGUGUCUGAAGACGGUGACAGUGUGCUUAUAUAUAAUAAAUGAAUAAAUAAAUAAACCUUUAAAGAAAAGAAUGAAAAUGUAUCAAUUUUACCUAUCAGGCUAUCAGAAUUUGUAAAGAUUUGUUAUGUCCUCCAUUUAGAAGGACUCUACACCAGUCAGAGUGUGAAGUGACAAACUGUUCAGAUGGUGACAGCUGUCAGAGCACACAGGAGUUUAAAGUUUAUCAGCCUUUGACCCACUAACUCCAUUUAACGACUCUGUUGGGCACCCUGUACCAGGGCCCUAAGGAGCCUCACUUCCCUGUCUUUGGUCCCUCCCUUCCCUGGAGUGUGAGCUGGACCUAAACUCACUCAAGGAAAACAGCAGGAGUUACGGGGCAGCAGUUCCGACAGGAGAGUGGAGGAGCCCUGAGCCCUGAGGCCCUGUCUUGGGAGCUCACUCAUUGUCUGGCGUUUGUGAGGAUUCCCAAUAGCAAUCUGCAAGUUUGGAAUGGAUUUUCCUGCGCUUCCAGAGCCAGGCAGUGAGUUCAGCAGUGCCUCCCCAUGGCGAGUGACACUCUAAUCCAAGUGGCACCUUCCUCAAACUCAGGAGACCUUGAUCCAGGAACAUCCGGGUGAGACCCAGCUAUUUCAACAGAUCCAUAAAUGCCUGAUUUGCAAAGGCUCGGCAUUUGGGGGAAAUUUGUUCCACAGGAAUAGAUAACAGAUACUAAUCUGUAUACUAUAUCGUUUCUGACACCAAAAAAGGGGAAGCUACCUAAAUGUUCCCCUGUAAGGUCAUCAGCAGGAAAGUGUAGCUCAGACACGCAAUGUAAAGAAAAAAGCAGUUACUCAGAUAAGAUCGGUGUAAGUGAACUGAUGCCAAGCUGCUCCCAUAGCUUAAGUCUCAAAGGCAAGUCUAGGGUCAGAGACAUAGCCCAGCAGGUGCAGGCACUUGCUUGCCAAGCCUGAUGACCCAGGACCCAUGUGCAGGAGAGAACUGACUCCUGCAUGUCGUCCUCUGACCUCCGCACGUGCACAGUAGCAUGUGCAUUCGCACACAACCUGGGUGGUAGGGAGGUGUGUGCUGUAGGGAGAGUCACCAGGCUGCUACCCGGCCACUGAGCUACAGAGGACAGCAGAGGAGUGAGGCUCACGGUUCCUUGCAUUCUUCAGUGUGAGUGCUGCAGGGAACAAGGAUUGCUUUUGUAAUUUAGAAAAGCAGUGGGAUAGAAUGUGCUUUCCCCGGUUGGGGAUUUAGCUCAGUGGUAGAGCGCUUGCCUAGCAAGCACAAGGCCCUGGGUUCAGUCCCCAGCUCCAAAAAAAAAAAAAAAAAAAAAAAAAAAAAAAAAAAAAAAAAAAAACAAGAAUGUGCUUUCCCCGAGACUCAUGAUAAUUAACAGUCAAUGCUGCAACUGAACUGAAUGAAUGACGUCCUUUCCUGGACAACUGAACUGAAUGAAUGACGUCCUUUCUGGUCAACAGAACUGAAUGAAUGACAUCCUUUCCUGGUCAACAGAACUGAAUAACGUCCUUUCCUGGACAACUGAAUGAAUGACGUCCUUUCCUGGACAAUAUGGCUCACUCCAUUACUUAGAAAACAAUAGAAUAAGAAAAUCAAUUUGCAUAAAAAUGUCCCAAAGUCCUCAGGCUGUGUGUCCUGGGGCUCAAAGGGAAGCUUGUAGUGAUGAAGGAUCACAGUCUCUUUGGCUGCACUGAAGUGUGAAGCCAGGCAUGGGUGGGGUAUUUCAGAGCUCCUGGCUACUAACCUGCUGCUUUUAAGCGGCUUGUCACCUGCCUUUCUAAAGUCUCUUCCUGACAAUGUCAGUGAUUGUUCUAAGUCACGUGUUAGCCUUUUUAGAAGUGUAAUGGCUAGGAAGCUCUAGGAGGAAGUGGGGUAAGGCAGGGUACCGGAGUGAGUGUGGCCAAAGUACAAUGUACACAGCAUGAAAUGUCACACAGAACCCCGACAUUUUUGUGUGCUGACUUAAAAAUAAUCUCAAAAAGAAAGGAACACUCCAGGGUGAAUUGUUAGUGCACGGGGACGCUGUGUUCAGAAGAGAAAGAGCCGUCAGGAGACCCUUUACCUUGGUUUAAUCAUCAGGAUGUUCGCACACAAGCUCUUUUCAAAGAGAAUUUUCAAGGGCUGGCAGUCUUGGAAAUACACAUUGUGAGUUCUUUUAAUACCUUAAAGAGAACAAAGCAGCCUCUUAAUAACUCUAAGUGCAAAAUGAACAGGCUUUAAAAGCCUGCCUUUCACAGCUAAACUAAAGCAAUAAAAAUUAAUGUCUCACGUGGCAGGUGCACACGGCCUGCCAUGGAACGUGGCCCUAAUUAAGAAACGUAUUGUCGCCCCCUAGUGGACAAGGAGCAACAUGUCACAUCUCAGCAAAUUAGGUCUCACCCAGCCCAGUGGUCUCAAACUUGAUAGGUAGCCAAGGAUAACCUUGAACUCCUGAAGCUCCUGCCUUUACUUCCCAAGUGCUGGGGUAACAGGCAUGUACCAUCAUGCUCAAGGACUGCAAGUCAAGCCCAGGCCUUCUUGCAUGAUAAGCAAGCACUCAGAAAACUCAGCCCUGAAAAGAGACGUCUUGAACAUACAUAAGUCAGUAACUGGCACUGCAGGUCAUGGAUCUACAAGGCUCUUUUUGAAUAUUUUAUUCAGGACUAGUCUUUCUUUAUAGGACUACCGGCAGUUAGACCUCUAAAUCUGGUCAGUGAUUUCUUUUUACUGUAGGAGAAUUAGCAAUACAGGUCGAGUGUUCCUGUCCUAAAUGCUUGGUGUUUCAGGGGCUGGAGAGCUGGAACUAUGGUUAAGAGCAGUUGCUAGACUAAGAUUCAGUUCCCAGUACCCUCAUAGAGCUGACAACUGUUUGUAACUCCAGUUCCGGGGUAUCUUCCUGCCUCCGAGAGCACCGGGCACACAGGCAGUGCACAGACAUAAAUAAAGGCAAUAGUCACAUACAUAAAAUGAAAUGAAAGUAUUUUUAAAAGUGUUCUGACUUGGAAGGGUUGGGGGAAUAUUUCUAAAAACUUUAUGAGUUGAUUAUCCCUAAUCUGAAAAUCAGAUUGGGUUGGGGGGGUUAGAUUCACACUUUCAGAUCAGGGUGCUUGCUCUGUGUGCCAGACACUUGUAUGCAUUUUACGUGUAUCUUCUCUCCUCCCUGCAGCCCUUCAGGGGAGGGAGGGACUAAUCUUACAGCUAGACUGCGGCAGCACAGUGCUGAAGAGCAAACUGAAGACCUAACCAGGAUGAAAGAGAUGGCUUAGACCAUCUUGCCACCAAGAGUGAGAAGACUGAUGACUUUAAACCACACCACAUGUUCGUUCUCUCUCUCUCUCUCUCUCUCUCUCUCUCUCUCUCUCUCUCUCUCUCUCUCACACACACACACACACACACACACACACACACACUAUUUUUUUAAGUUUAAAAAUUCUUUAAAAAGAAAAUGCCAGACACCAUGGCACACACCUUUAAUCCCAGCACUCAGGAGACAGGUCUCUGUGAGUUCAAGACCAGCCUGGCCUGGUCUACAGAGUGUGUUCUAGGGCUAGCAGAGCUAAUCAGGCCUGGUCUCAAGUAAAUGAAAUGACACAUUUCUCAGGUUAUAUGUUUGGUGAAAUUCUUUGCUGUUUUGUUUUGCUGAAUAACAGGACUGACUGACUGAUGUGGCCAGAAACUCACUAUGUAGACCAGGCUGGCCUCAAGCAUUAGUAAACCUGCCUUUGCCUGAGUGCUGAGUGUGCACUACUGAACCCAACGAUUACUAACUUAAUAAACAUGCACAUUUAUGUAUUAUCAAAUUUCGUUCAUUUGGCUGCAUAGCCAACCACUCUGGAAUCGAGUUUCUUGGAACAGCAAGCACCUGUUAUUUAGCUCUCAUGAUUUUACCGAGUGGUUCUUGAGGUCUAACGUAGGAUCAUCUGGGGUGAGUUCACCGUCUGUCUCUGGCCUCAGUGGGAGCAACAAGGAUGCUGAGGACGUAUUGUGUGAUGGUUUGUAUAUGCUCAGCCCAGGGAGUGGCACUGUUAGAAGGUGUGGUCCCAUUGGAGUAGGUGUGUCACUGUGGCUGUGGGCUUUAAGACCCUCACCCUAGCAGCCUUCAGAUGAAGAUGUAGAACUCUCAGCUCCUCCUGCACCAUGCCUGCCUGGAUGCUGCCAGGCUCCUGCCUUGAUGAUAGUGGACUGAACCUCUGAGCCUGUAAGCCAGCCCCAGUUAAACGUUGUCCUUAUAAGUGUUGCCCUGGUCCUGGCGUCUGCUCACAGCAGGAAAACCCUGAGACAGAGUCUAUCCCAGAAGUGUAUCCCUGGCUUCUCCUCUGGCUGAUAGAGGAGCUCCAGGGCAGCGUUGAUGAUGACAGCCUUGGGAGGCCCAGGCUAGGAACCUAGGCAAACCACUGCUGGCAUCAAAUAAGACCACAGUAAGCUGGAGCGGGAGAGACAGCGCAGUCAUUGAGAGCACUGACUGGACUCCCAGAGGACAGGGGUUGAAUCCACUUGAUGCCAACAACCAUUCACAAUUCCAGUUCCAGAUAGAUGGCUGAUGCCCUCUUCUGGGCUCCUCAAGCACGGCAUAGAUAUAUGGUUCACAGACAUCUAUGUAAGCAAAACGUCCGUAUACAUUAAAACAAAACAGUAACAAAAACAAACAAACAAAAAAGCCCACUGAGAUUCAAAGUGGGGGGACAGACUCCGACUGUGAAGUGAGGGGCUACAGAUGAUAGAGCAACUUUUGAAGGCGACCACAGUGGGAUGGUUUUAGGAUAUUGACCUUGUGAUAUAGCAGAAACUGGAUGGUAAGUUGAGGUUAUAGGGGAUCCAGUGAGCUUGUUGGGGAAAUACUAAGUUAAUAAAGUAGAAGUUAGUUAAAGCAGUGCUCAAGGAUGCUCUGCAGAAACUGCAGGGAGGAAAGAGUUGGUCUUGAAGAUAACUGAAGGGUAGGUUUGCUGAGUGUUUGUUUUUAUUAAGAUGUGUUCACUAAGAUUGCCUUCAAUUAGGCCCUAUACCCAUAACAAAAGGAGACACUCACUCCUAGGACACCGCUGGCCAUUAGACUCACUACUUUUUUUUUUUUUCUUUUUUCUUUUUUUUCGGAGCUGGGGACCGAACCCAGGGCCUUGCGCUUUCUAGGCAUGCGCUCUACCACUGAGCUAAAUCCCCAACCCCGACUCACUCCUGUAUCAAAGAGCAUGUUUCUAUAGAGCAGUUCAAAGUGGGCAGCUGUGGGUCAGGGCUG
This is a non-coding RNA of Rattus norvegicus (Norway rat), 5819 nucleotides long. NCBI's taxonomy places the organism in Eukaryota, Metazoa, Chordata, Mammalia, Rodentia, Muridae. The record is from RefSeq and is a predicted model, not a curated record.